RNAcentral lists this transfer RNA (77 nucleotides) under Nocardioides sp. Root240. Its description in RNAcentral is "tRNA-Arg". It matches the Rfam family "tRNA". Rfam says of the family: Transfer RNA (tRNA) molecules are approximately 80 nucleotides in length. Their secondary structure includes four short double-helical elements and three loops (D, anti-codon, and T loops). Lineage: Bacteria; Bacillati; Actinomycetota; Actinomycetes; Propionibacteriales; Nocardioidaceae. The record is from RNAcentral. RNAcentral also lists the same sequence under 1 other name.
GCCUCCGUAGCUCAAUUGGAUAGAGCAGCCGGUUUCUACCCGGCAUGUUGCGGGUUCGAUUCCUGCCGGGGGCGCCA